This 407-nucleotide ribosomal RNA is filed under the name uncultured bacterium. Its description in RNAcentral is "partial 16S ribosomal RNA". It matches the Rfam family "Bacterial small subunit ribosomal RNA", at positions 30 to 526 of the family's 1533-position model. The record is from RNAcentral.
AUUGAACGCUGGCGGCAGGCCUAACACAUGCAAGUCGAACGGAGCGGCGAACGGGGGAUUAAUACCUAGGAAUCUGCCUGGGAGUAAGGGAUAACGCUCGGGAACGGACGAUAUUACCGCAUACUAGCAGAGGAGCCUCGGUCGGAUUAGCUAGUUGGUGAGGUAAUGGCUCACCAAGGCUACGAUCCGUAACUGGUCUGAGAGGAUGAUCAGUCACACUGGAACUGAGACACGGUCCAGACUCCUACGGGAGGCAGCAGUGGGGAAUAUUGGACAAUGGGCGAAAGCCUGACCCAGCCAUGCCGCGUGUGUGAAGAAGGUUUUCGGAUUGUAAAGCACUUUAAGUUGAGAGGCGUUACCGAAAGAGUAAGCACCGGCUAACUACGUGCCAGCAGCCGCGGUAAUUC